UCGGACGUAGUGUAUGGUUACACAGCCUCUUCAGUUAAAGUAGGAGUGGGGUCCUUUGGUUUGGGAGGCAGUCCCGGGUUCGAUUCCUGGCGUCCGAG
Non-coding RNA from Mycena polygramma, 98 nucleotides. NCBI's taxonomy places the organism in Eukaryota, Fungi, Basidiomycota, Agaricomycetes, Agaricales, Mycenaceae. The record is from the annotation of a GenBank genome assembly.